This 1335-nucleotide ribosomal RNA is filed under the name Escherichia coli. RNAcentral's name for it is "partial 23S ribosomal RNA". It matches the Rfam family "Bacterial large subunit ribosomal RNA", at positions 1 to 1377 of the family's 2925-position model. Lineage: Bacteria; Pseudomonadati; Pseudomonadota; Gammaproteobacteria; Enterobacterales; Enterobacteriaceae. The record is from RNAcentral.
GGUUAAGCGACUAAGCGUACACGGUGGAUGCCCUGGCAGUCAGAGGCGAUGAAGGACGUGCUAAUCUGCGAUAAGCGUCGGUGAGGUGAUAUGAACCGUUAUAACCGGCGAUUUCCGAAUGGGGAAACCCAGUGUGUUUCGACACACUAUCAUUAACUGAAUCCAUAGGUUAAUGAGGCGAACCGGGGGAACUGAAACAUCUAAGUACCCCGAGGAAAAGAAAUCAACCGAGAUUCCCCCAGUAGCGGCGAGCGAACGGGGAGGAGCCCAGAGCCUGAAUCAGUGUGUGUGUUAGUGGAAGCGUCUGGAAAGGCGCGCGAUACAGGGUGACAGCCCCGUACACAAAAAUGCACAUAUUGUGAGCUCGAUGAGUAGGGCGGGACACGUGGUAUCCUGUCUGAAUAUGGGGGGACCAUCCUCCAAGGCUAAAUACUCCUGACUGACCGAUAGUGAACCAGUACCGUGAGGGAAAGGCGAAAAGAACCCCGGCGAGGGGAGUGAAAAAGAACCUGAAACCGUGUACGUACAAGCAGUGGGAGCCUCUUUAUGGGGUGACUGCGUACCUUUUGUAUAAUGGGUCAGCGACUUAUAUUCUGUAGCAAGGUUAACCGAAUAGGGGAGCCGAAGGGAAACCGAGUCUUAACUGGGCGUUAAGUUGCAGGGUAUAGACCCGAAACCCGGUGAUCUAGCCAUGGGCAGGUUGAAGGUUGGGUAACACUAACUGGAGGACCGAACCGACUAAUGUUGAAAAAUUAGCGGAUGACUUGUGGCUGGGGGUGAAAGGCCAAUCAAACCGGGAGAUAGCUGGUUCUCCCCGAAAGCUAUUUAGGUAGCGCCUCGUGAAUUCAUCUCCGGGGGUAGAGCACUGUUUCGGCAAGGGGGUCAUCCCGACUUACCAACCCGAUGCAAACUGCGAAUACCGGAGAAUGUUAUCACGGGAGACACACGGCGGGUGCUAACGUCCGUCGUGAAGAGGGAAACAACCCAGACCGCCAGCUAAGGUCCCAAAGUCAUGGUUAAGUGGGAAACGAUGUGGGAAGGCCCAGACAGCCAGGAUGUUGGCUUAGAAGCAGCCAUCAUUUAAAGAAAGCGUAAUAGCUCACUGGUCGAGUCGGCCUGCGCGGAAGAUGUAACGGGGCUAAACCAUGCACCGAAGCUGCGGCAGCGACACUAUGUGUUGUUGGGUAGGGGAGCGUUCUGUAAGCCUGUGAAGGUGGCCUGUGAGGGUUGCUGGAGGUAUCAGAAGUGCGAAUGCUGACAUAAGUAACGAUAAAGCGGGUGAAAAGCCCGCUCGCCGGAAGACCAAGGGUUCCUGUCCAACGUUAAUCGGGGCAG